This 73-nucleotide transfer RNA is filed under the name Bos taurus (domestic cattle). It matches the Rfam family "tRNA". From Rfam's summary of the family: Transfer RNA (tRNA) molecules are approximately 80 nucleotides in length. Their secondary structure includes four short double-helical elements and three loops (D, anti-codon, and T loops). Further hydrogen bonds mediate the characteristic L-shaped molecular structure. tRNAs have two regions of fundamental functional importance: the anti-codon, which is responsible for specific mRNA codon recognition, and the 3' end, to which the tRNAs corresponding amino acid is attached (by aminoacyl-tRNA synthetases). tRNAs cope with the degeneracy of the genetic code in two manners: having more than one tRNA (with a specific anti-codon) for a particular amino acid; and 'wobble' base-pairing, i.e. permitting non-standard base-pairing at the 3rd anti-codon position. The record is from Rfam by way of RNAcentral. Lineage: Eukaryota; Metazoa; Chordata; Mammalia; Artiodactyla; Bovidae. RNAcentral also lists the same sequence under 3 other names.
UCCCUGGUGGUCCAGUGGAUAAGGACUCAGCACUUUCACUGCUGUCACCUGGGUUCAAUCCCUGGUCAAGGAA